Long non-coding RNA from Spinacia oleracea (spinach), 966 nucleotides. RefSeq lists it as uncharacterized. Lineage: Eukaryota; Viridiplantae; Streptophyta; Magnoliopsida; Caryophyllales; Amaranthaceae. The record is from RefSeq and is a predicted model, not a curated record. The transcript has 4 exons.
CUUAUUUAUCAGACCCGUAAUUUUCCUCCCUCCAUUGAAAUAGCUAUUGCCUCUUCUUUCCUGAUCCCUCCUCCAUUUUUACCCUUCUUUUUAAUCAAUAAAUUAAGAAACAAUCUAAAAUCUACAACUACAACUAUGAUUUUAUAAUUAUCUCUCUUCCCUAUUUCACUACAAGAAAUUUACCUUUUCGUGGCGAAUAUUUAGUACCAAAUAUAUAAUCGCUGUUAUAAAUCAAUAAUGUGUGUUAAAUCAUGUAGACAAUUAUAGCACUUUUAUAAUCGCUAUAUUAACCUUAAAUUAAUCAACACGAAAAACUAAUUAGAUAUUGUUCACGUAUGCCGCCUAUUUUUUCAGAAAUUGCGCUCAAGAUUUAUGUCUAAACUUUUCGCUCAAAACUCAAAAAAUUUCGCAAAUUUUUUUGAGUUCCCUCCAUCAUCAAUCUUCCGCAUUAUGAAAAUUAGGUGAAGAUUAUUUUUCUCUUCAUCCUCUAUAGGUGACACAAAAAACUCCAACCUCAAGUGAAGCGUGGGAUUCUUGGGAGAGGGUGUGAAUAAUUCGCGCAAAUAUUGAUCGGUUUCUCAUCUGAUUUCACGAAACCCCAUUUCAGGAACUGUUUCAUCACAAGUUCAAGGUAUUAAGAGAAAACUAAUUCGUCUACAGCUCCAGGAACAACCCAGCCAAGAGCUGAUCGCCGAGUUAAGGAAGCAUUAAUGCAUCUUAUUCGACACAGAUGGCGAUGGAUCUGAUUUAUUCUAGGAGCAGAAGGCAUGAAAUCCAGGAUCUGAUUUCUUCUGAUGCAGUUUCCAAAUUACUCACUGAAGCAUCACUUUCUCAUACAAUACAGGUAUUGCAUAUUCAAUCCUUGCUGUAGAGUUAGGUCUUAUUUUGGCAACCAGUCAAGCUCCUACUACUAAUGUAUAGCAGGUGCGGUACAGGAUGCGCUGCAUAUUGAAUAUGUUCACGGUG